This 548-nucleotide ribosomal RNA is filed under the name uncultured bacterium. Its description in RNAcentral is "partial 16S ribosomal RNA". It matches the Rfam family "Bacterial small subunit ribosomal RNA", at positions 356 to 888 of the family's 1533-position model. The record is from RNAcentral.
AGGGAAUCUUCCGCAAUGGACGCAAGUCUGAUGGAGCAACGCCGCGUGAGUGAAGAAGGUUUUCGGACCGUAAAGCUCUGUUGUUGGUGAAGAAGGAUAGAGGUAGUAACUGGCCUUUAUUUGACGGUAAUCAACCAGAAAGUCACGGCUAACUACGUGCCAGCAGCCGCGGUAAUACGUAGGUGGCAAGCGUUGUCCGGAUUUAUUGGGCGUAAAAGCGAGCGCAGGCGGAAGAAUAAGUCUGAUGUGAAAGCCCUCGGCUUAACCGAGGAAUUGCAUCGGAAACUGUUUUUCUUGAGUGCAGAAGAGGAGAGUAGAAACUCCAUGUGUAGCGGUGGAAUGCGUAGAUAAUAUGGAAGAAUACCAGUGGCGAAGGCGGCUCUCUGGUCUGCAAACUGACGCUGAGGCUCGAAAAGCAUGGGUAGCGAACAGGAUUAGAUACCCUGGUAGUCCAUGCCGUAAAACGAUGAGUGCUAAGUGUUGGGAGGCUUCCGCCUCUCAGUGCUGCAGCUAACGCAUUAAGCACUCCGCCUGGGGGAGUACGACCG